Molecule: long non-coding RNA, 3252 nt
Filed under: Zea mays
Lineage: Eukaryota; Viridiplantae; Streptophyta; Magnoliopsida; Poales; Poaceae
Description: long non-coding RNA (ZMAY_LNC003652)
Source: RNAcentral
CAAACAUUCAAGUGUAUAGAUCCUAUAAAAAUAGUUUUGUUUUUUCGUUCCUAAGAGUAGGUCUCCUAUUCCUUUAGGCACAGGAUUUCAAAGUGUGAAAUCCACAUUUGUCUUUAGAAGGAAAAGAUAAGAAAAUCAGAGUAAAGCGGAAAUAGAUGAGAAAAGAUUAACAUAAGUUUAGAAAAGAAUUAGAGUAAGGUAAGUAGGUAAGGGUCUGACCAUUUCUAUCUAGGUUUCGUCCUACAGUCAACUUUUCCUCUGAUACCACUUCUGUCACACCCGGUUUUAAGGGACAAAGUCGGGUGCAUCUCAUACAUGCGCCAAAGAAGACAACAUAUAUAAUAACAUAGUGUAUAGAGAUAAAUGUCACAAUAAUCAGAGUAUUUAUUACAUAGCGGAAGUCUUACAAAAUAAAAAAAAAUAAAAGGAUCCAAAAUCUAUCCUUGGCGCUAGAAAGUCAACUGGGAGACGCCACCCAGAUCGAAUUGAACUCCUCGAUGUGUGGCUCCACUUGAACCACAUGUUCUUCUCCUGUGGGGGGGUGUGAGACAGCAAGGGUGAGCUCACAUACGUUCAUAGCUCAACAAGUUGUGGGGACUAAUGUGCAUGAACUCCCCAAAGGUGGAAGUUCAUGUGAAGUGUAAGGUUGAUCAACAAAAUAAAGGUUGAGGCUGAGCAUUGCUUUUAUAAGUUGGUCAAAAUUUUAUUAGCAAUUACUAAGUAUAAGUAUAUACCAAACCAUAAUAAAUAAUAGAACAAAAUUAAUAAAUAAUCUCAUGCAAAUGCAAAUGACAAAUUGAAUUUAAGUUACAUAAAUUAAUCAUGUGAGUGUCCGAGCUGCUCAUGACCGUGAGCACGACUAAUAUACCAGUUUUACACUCUGCAGAGGUUGUGCAUGUUUACCCACAAGUCAUGUUACCCAUCUUCCAAGGGGUCAUGAAUCCCAUACACCUCUACUAAGAAAGCGAGGCAGGGUAACACUACGAGGCCUUUACAAUGUUCCACUAGCUUCAGAAAACCCGCUACAGUUUCUAGGAAGCUCCAAUGCAGGGAUCCCUCACCUGACCGCCAUCAUAGCAUAAUCAACCCAAGGACCUCCCUACACUGACCACUCCCCUACUGCCCUUGCCCCUUUCGGGUAAGGUAGUCAUCCACUAGCUUUCCUAAUUAGUCAGCCAAGGGCAUCCCAUACUACCCUUGUGGUGGCACUAUUUUCCCGGGUGGUUCUCCAUGUUCCCAUUAACAUAAUGAUCUUAUCAUGAACAUAAAUAACAUAACAGAAUAAUAGGAACAUGGAUAUAAUGAAAUAUUAACCCAAAAACCGUGUAAAGCAAUAGCAUAACUACCCAAUGAUUCAGGGGUAAACAAGGUAAAAGAUAAACAGUCUAGGGUGACCUAUUGGGUCCCAUCAAAAUUAAACCUAUGCAUGAAUAGUGAUAAUAAAGAAUAUAAUUGUGUAACAAAAGUGGAUCAAGGGCAAAACUUGCCUGGCACUUGAGAUUCCAGUUACCUGGGUGAUUCUUUAGAUCCUCGAAACCUCGCGCUAGUCGUAGCAAUACAAACAAACAUGGUAUAGAUAAAAUUAACAUCACACCAAACAUAACAACAAACUGAAUAAUAAUGAUCUACGCGAAGCUAUAAGAUCGUGGGAUCGAGAACUACUAAGAUCGGAGUUACGAUUAAGGAGUUAUGAUUUUAUAGAAGAUCCGUGUGAUUAAAUAUUAAACUAUAUUAUAAAUUGGUUAAUAUAAAUCAUAUGAGAGGUUAUUUUAUAAAUAAUUAUCUCAACUUUAAUCUAAGUUAUGAAUUGACCAUAAAUCAUCUUAUAGUAGAUUAUAAUGAUAAGUAGAUUAACAAGACUAACCCACAAAAAUUAAAUAAAGAUCUAAUUAGAAAAGAAUGAGACAUGGUAUAAUAACUAUUGUUAUUGCAUAGUAAUUAUUUAUACGAGACUAAUGCAACUUGAAUGGAUCAAAUCGGAGUUAUAGAUUUUAAGUUAUGAAUUUCCAAAGAUUUUAUGUGUUUUGUACAAGAUUAAAUAGAAUAUAAAUUUAAUUUGACUUUCAUGUCAAAACAGUGGUACUAACUAAUAAACAAUAAUAUUACAAAAUUAUAGGAAUUGGAAUGGAUUAAUUUGGACUCCAUAUGAAUUUUCUAUGAUUUAUAAAAAUUUCAGCAUUUAUUUUCACGUUUAAAAAUCAUUUUCCAAUUACUUUUAGUGGAUUUCUAAUUCCCUGGACUGGGCGUCAAAUUCUAGAAAAGACAGGAGCUCAUCUAUAAUUUUCCACAAGACUCAGACCGCAACCCUACUGGACGGCGGGUUAAUUCACAAGAAGUCGAAGGGCUCUUUUGCAAACAUGCGAGGUCGAAGGGGUAUGAGAGCGUCAGAGCCGUCCGAUCGAAAUCUGAAGAUCCAGAUUAGAUCCCGAGCCAAUCGAACGAAAUACAGUGCGGACCUUCGGAUUAAGAUCUAACGGUGUAGAUGUUUAUAUAUCCAGAUCCAAUCGCCACCACUGGAUCUACAGCCUACGGUUCAGAUUCUAAACUCCGGAGAUCGCACCGCGUCCAUCCGAUCACGGAUCAAUGGUCCGAGCAUGACUGGGGCUUUGCAGUCAAUCGUGACCGGACACGCAUGGAUCAACGGCCGAGCGGCGUCCAAACCGAAGGGGUACGCAUAUCUAAACCACGCCGUUAGAUCCGGAUCCGAUGACCGGUGUUCAUCAACUAACCCAGCGGCGGCUGAGCGGCGGCGCGCUUAUGCCCCGCGGCGGAGCAUCGCCGUCGCGUGCUUGAUCCGGCUCCUAGUGCGAGCCACUACGCGAUUUCUAGUGCAAAACGAAGCCAAUAGAACAACAAGGGCGGAGAUGGUGAUUUUACCGGCGAUUAAGCUCUAAGGAAGUCCGCCCUCGCUGCGCGGCGGCUCGAGCACGAGAGGAGAGGUCCAGCGACCAAUUCGUGAAGUCCUCGACGACAAUUCCAGGUGGCGUGGCCACCAGCGCCCGCCCCGCAGCCGAGGGAAGGCCCUGAGCCCCAUAAUGGAGGCGCGGACGACGGCAAGCCGGAGCACCCCUGCAGUAGCCCCAGCUUCUCUCCGUGGCGGCAGGAAAUUCUCACGAUUGCGGCAAGGAUGGCGGGGUAAGGGUGGGGCGAGUUGAUCGAGUCGCUGGCCGAGUCCUUUAUGCGCCCCUGGGGUUCGCAGCAUGAGCUGUAGGCAGUCGUUCCGCCGAUCCGUACAAGGCGGAAAUCUCCCGG